CACAAGGCUCUCGGCUCAUUCUGGAGCCAGAUCCUCUCAGCCCAACUCUGCUCUAUCAGUCUUCUGGCCCGGAGGGUGACACCCACAGCCUGUUUAUCAGAGCCAAGCAGCGAUGACACAUCCAGGCCUUUGCCAGGCAGCAUCCUGAUGUAGGUAUCAAAGUCCAGCCCUCCAGCGCUGUGUUGCAUAGACCCAGCUGAGACCAGAGCUCCAGAAGACACCAGCAGGGUUUCCCUGGCCACGGAGAGUUUGGCUCAGGACCUGCCUGCCUCUCUGCUCAGUAGGCAACGGGCUCUGAGCAGGCAUCCCGGCCCGAGGGAUGGGCUGGUUGUUCCUUGACACCUAUUUCAGCUAAGGAGGCUGGGUCGACAGGUGUAACCGGGUUUUCCCCCAGUGCCCACCCUUUCCUAGCAGACAAUCAGAGGGAGAGAAGACCACAUUUUGGAUUUCUCUAGGGGAAGGAAAUUAAAAGCCAACAGGUCUCUCUCCCUGGGAGAGUGGAGGCACCCGCCAGGGUUCCCAGGAAACUGCCAGCUCAGCCUACCUGACAAAUAACCUCUCCUGACAAGUGGCCAAUUGACUCAAAACAGCAGCGCCGCUGACGAAAAACAAACCAAUAGCAGUUUGAGACGAGGGGUGUUCCAGGUACACAUGCAAGACGCAGCUUCUCCUCCGCACACAAAGUGGUAGGGAAAUACUCAGAACAAAUUUACCUUGGAGCAGCAAGACUGUGCUUGCUUCAGCCCUGUCUUCACCUGGAUUACUCAUGGUGAUCUCAGGAGGCCCUGCCUGCAGAGUCAUGGUGAGUGAGCUGAGGAACGGGAAGCUUGAGCUCCAACUGGUUGGCUGACACAGCCUUUGAGUUAUCAUUUCAUCUUCCACGGCUCAUUGAAAGUGAGGACCUGCUUCCUCCCCAGCCCUGAGAAUGGGGACAUCUAGACAUCCUAAAACAUAGACAUCGUAUGUCUAACUGGUAUCUCUCAACUUUAAAUAUUUUAAAGGAAUUAGCACAUUUCCCCCAGGUUAAGGAUAUUUUUCUCAUUAAUGAAAGGAAUUUGCAAAAGUAGUUGUUGAAUGUUUAGAAGUAAAGCAGAACAUAAGGAUGAUCACACAGGCAGUGUUCUUGGAAGUACAUGUACAUGGAAGGAAGGCAACAUGAACUUAAAGAAUAAUGCUUAUGUCUGAUUUAUUGUGUGCAAAUCUUAGCUGGAAUGCCAAAAAGAUUCAAUGGAAAAAGCUCAGCAAUUCAUUGUUUUAUUGUUGAGAAAAUGAAGGGACUUUACUAGUCACCUCCAGAUUAGUAAGUACAACACACAAAACAUGUUCCUCAGCUAACAGAAAUGCUUUUAGGAUUAAAAAUAGUCCUGAUGGGUGUUUUGUGUUCUUUCCCACUCACUGGUUCAGAAUCAGAUUCAACUAAUGUUCACGAGUGCCUGCCCUGUGCUGGACACUUUGCUGACUGUUCCUAUUACUUCAUUUGAUUCCUGCUUCUCCUUCAGAAGAGUCUAACUGGUCUCAUUUUACAGACACCUGGAGAAAUGAAGAGCCUUACCUACGACCUCCUAAGUGUUGAGUGAGGAGCUGGGUUUCUGGCAUGGUCGUCUGGGUUUCUUUUCUGAUAUCACGGCCUGUGUUGCUUCUACCGACCCUUGUCUCCAUGUUAUCAGAGUCAGUGAAACCCACCAACACUUAGAUGUUAAGUAGCAAUGAGGGUAAGAAAAAAAAUACUCUUCUUUGCUAACUUCAAUUUUAUAAACAAAAAGCAGGCAGUUGCAUACAGAUAAUAGAGAACAGAGCAACCCAUAAUUUGAGUAGUCAUGAAUCAUGAUCUUGUUUAAACCCAUGUCUUUAUGUGUGUGUGUGUGUGUGUGUGUAUGUGUGUGUGUGU
This is a long non-coding RNA of Panthera uncia (snow leopard), 1888 nucleotides long. RefSeq lists it as uncharacterized. Lineage: Eukaryota; Metazoa; Chordata; Mammalia; Carnivora; Felidae. The record is from RefSeq and is a predicted model, not a curated record. The transcript has 2 exons.